Long non-coding RNA from Scylla paramamosain (green mud crab), 6949 nucleotides. RefSeq lists it as uncharacterized. Lineage: Eukaryota; Metazoa; Arthropoda; Malacostraca; Decapoda; Portunidae. The transcript has 2 exons. The record is from RefSeq and is a predicted model, not a curated record.
ACUUUUGUUCCAGAAGUGUGUGUGUGUAGCAUCUGAAAGUCAUGGUGCAUCUGGCUGCUGCCUUGCACCCUGCCCAUCAUUGCCUUCCUCCUCCUCAAAUCUACCACAUUAGCCAGGAAAAUCUGCCAGUCUUGCCAAUGACCUCAUGGUGACCAUUCAACCUAUGCCAGCUUUCAGUUGCUGCCAUCAUGAUGAAGCAGGACAAUCCCACAGCUGGCACAAUUAGCUGAUCUCAUAUCCCAACUUACAGUGGAAGUUAAUAAUCUCAAGCAACAACUCCAUAGCUGUCCAUACUCCCUCUCCUCCACUCCACACCACUUCCAAUGAUGAUCUCACUCAAGAUGUGUCUCAAGGACCCAAAGAGUCUGCUUCUAACACCACAAGUUUGGGAAAGAUACCAUAAAAGUGCCUUACUCCUUGCACUUUCAAGGUGUUAAGCACAAACAGCAAACAUUAAUGCAGCAUAGUGUUCACCCAUCCUUCUUCAUCUACACUGCUCCACAUCUACAACUGCCCAUCCCAGACUAAGUUCUUGGUGCAGACGUUAGUGUCCUUCCUGCGCCAGCCAGCCAGUGGUCCCUGCUUCCUGCCUCUGCACCUGUAUGCUGCUAAUGGUACCAAAAUACCAGUAUGCUCGUGACAAACGAUGCAGCUAGACCUGAGCAUGUGCCGUUCUUUCAAGUGGAUGUUCUAUGUUGGAGCAGUCUCUCAAGCCAUCCUUGGUGCUGAUUUUCUGAGGCACUACUACCUCAUGAUUGACCUGAAAGAUGGACCCCCUCAUUGCCUUCUCCACAAAGGCACAGGCUGCAUCCAGUGACCGUGCAAGACACCGUUAUUCACCAGGACCACAAGUUCGCCAACCUCAAGACCCUUCCUCAUGCUGAAGCAGCCAUAUUCUUCAGCAUGUGAUUCCACCACGUGACUCACCACAUCAAGACAACUGGAUUACCAGUACACGCCAAGGUUCAACACUUAGCUCCUGAGCGUUUUAAGAAAGCCAAGGCUGAGUUCAAAUCUCUGAUGAAUCAAGGCAUCAUACAGCCCAGCAGCAGCAAAUGGUCAUCAGCACUUCACAUCCCCAAAAAGAACAGAGACAUCAGGCCUUGUGGAGACUACCAUGCCCUCAACUCCCGCACAGUCGAAGAAGGUACCCUGUGCCCAAGAUCCAGUUCUUUUCACAUUUACACCGACCACAGACCUCUCACCACAAUGUUCAACAAGAAAAAGGACUCCUACACACCAUAACCCCCAACUGAUGCCCUUUUCCAGAACAGCUCUGCUGUCACAUCCUCUCCCAUCAACUAUGCCACCAUUGCUGCAGACCAGGCUGGUGCCACUGAGCUGCAGGAAUUCCUGGCAAACCCCCAUGUUGAAGAUGAAGAAAAUCAUGCUUCCAGGAACCCUGGUCUAUGCUGAUGUAUCCACCUAUGCUGUUUGCCCAUACAUCCCUGUGAAGCAUUGAUACCAGCUCUUCCGACAGCUGCAUGACUUGUCUCUCUGGAAUUUGUGCCUCCCAGUAGAUGAUGACCUGUUUUAUAUGGGAAGGGAUAAACAAGGACAUCAAACAGUGGACACUCACCUACAUCAACUGUCAAGCCUCCAAGGUGACAUAUCAUACCAACUCUACAAGGGGAGGCAGUAGGCACCUGCUGAAACAAUAAUUAUUCCCAGUGAGGUCUAAAGCACUGUUCAAGGGGUACUGUGAACUUAUCAUUAAACCCAGCUGUGACCUCAAUGAACGUUUCCCUUUGUGUCUCACAAUACAAGGGGGCAGUCACAGCCUGCCCUCUAAAGACAACUCUCUUCAUCCACACAAAACUACAAGCACCUAAUAACACACACACACACCCUACACUCAAAAAUUUUAAAAUUAUAAUGGGAACUCCUACACCAUCCUUGGAGUCCCCAUCUGGGGAGGGGACCAUAAAUGUCUCCAGGUCGGACUGCCCUUCUGUUGAUGACCCUAAGUGUCUUGACAACCCCCUCAACUUUUUCUUCAUUAAAUUUUGCAACAUUCGCAGUCUAAGAUCUAAUUUUCAAUCUGUAGACAUCACCUCUCCUCUUCUAAACCUCAUCUUCUUUUCCUCACUGAAACACAGGUGUCUGAGGCAACUGACAGUAGUAGCCCCUUUUCUUCUAAAGUGGUGCACAUUCUGACCCUCUUCCCUUUUGCAGAGAUCUCCAUUCUUGGAGACUUCAAUGUUCACCACCAGCUUUGGCUCUUUCCUCUCCCUUCACUGACCAUCCUGGUGAACUAGCCUUCAACUUUGCUAUCCUCCAUGACCUAGAACAAUUGGUGCAACACCCUACUCAUAUUCCUGACCGUCUUGGAGAUAUGCCCAACAUUCUUGAUCUUUUCAUGACCUCUAAUCCUUCUGCUUAUGCUGUCACCCUCUCUUCUCUGUUGGACUCCUCCGAUCACAAUCUCAUAUCUGUAUUUUGUCCUAUUGCUCCACUCCCUCCUCAGGAUCCCCCUAAGCGAAGGUGCCUCUGGCGUUUUGCCUCUCCUAGUUGGGGGGACCUGAGGAGGUUUUGCUGAUAUUCCUUAGAAUGACUACUGCUUCCGUGUCAGAGACCUGUCUUUGUGUGCUGAGCGCAUAACAGAGGUGAUGGUGUCUGGCAUGGAGGCGUACAUUCCUCACUCUGAGCGCAUAACAGAGGUGAUAGUGUCUGGCAUGGAGGCGUACAUUCCUCACUCUUUUUCUCUUGACCUAAACUUUCCAAACCUUGGUUUAACACAGCUUAUUCUCGUGCUAUACAUGAUAGAGAGGUGGCCCUCAAAAGGUACUUAAGCCUUCCAUCACCAGAUUCUCAUGCACUUUAUAUUUCUGCCCAGAACCAUGCCAAGUCUGUUCUCCAACUAGCCGAAAACUCCUUCAUUAACAUAAAGCGUCAAAAUCCUUCAAGAUCUAACUCCCCUCGUGACUUCUGGCAUCUAGCCAAAAAUAUCUCCAAUAACUUUGCUGCUUCUUCUUUCCCUCCUUUAUUUCAACCAGAUGGCACCAAUGCUAUCACAUCUAUUUCUAAAGCUGAACUCUUCACUCAAACCUUAGCUAAAAACUCUACCUUGGACGAUUCUGGGCUUGUUCCUCCCUCUCCUCCACCCUCUCUGACUGCUUCGUGCUAUCCAUUAAAAUUCUUCGCAAUGAUGUUUUCCAUGCCCUCGCUGGCCUAAACUCUGAGAAAGCUUAUGGACCUGAUGGGGUCCCUCCUAUUGUUCUCCGAAACUGUGCUUGCACCUUGCCUAGUCAAACUUUUUCAGCUCAGUCUGUCUGUCAACAUCUACCUUUCCUUCGUGCUGGAAGUUUGCCUACAUUCAGCCUGUUUCUAAAAAGGGUGACAGUUCUAAUCCCUCAAACUACUGUCCUAUUGCUUUAAUUUCCUGCCUAUCUAAAGUUUUUGAAUCUAUCCUCAACAGGAAGAUUCUUAAACAUCUAUCACUUCACAACCUUCUAUCUGAUUGCCGGUAUGAGUUCCAUCAAGGCCACACUCUACUGGUGAUCUUCUAGCUUUCCUUAAUGAGUCUUGGUCAUCCUUUUUUAGAGAUUUUGGUGAAACUUUUGCUGUUGCCUUGGAUAUAUAUCAAAAGCUUUUGAUAGAGUCUGGCAUAAAGCUUUGAUCUCCAAACUACCCUCCUACAGCUUCUAUCCUUCUCUCUGUAACUUCAUCUCAAGUUUCUUUUCUGACCAUUCUAUUGCUUCUGUGGUAGAUGGUCACUGUUCUUCUCCUAAAUCUAUUAAUAGUGGUGUUCCUCAGGGUUCUGUCCUGUCACCCACUCUCUUCUUAUUAUUCAUUAAUGAUCUUCUAAACCAAACUUCUUGUCCUAUCCACUCCUACGCUGAUGAUACCACCCUGCACUUUUCCACGUCUUUUCAUAGACAUCCAACCCUUCAGGAAGUAAACACAGGGAAGCGCCUGACUUCUGAUCUUUCUAAAAUUUCUGAUUGGGGCAGAGCAAACUUGGUAUUGUUCAAUGCCUCAAAAACUUAAUUCCUCCAUCCAUCAACUCGACACAACCUUCCAGACAACUAUCCCCUCUUCUUCGACAACACUCAACUGUCCCGCUUUUCUACACUGAAUAUCCUCGGUCUGUCCUGUACUUGUAAUCUGAACUGGAAACUUCACAUUUCAUUUCUAGCUAAAACAGCUUCUAUGAAGUUUAGGUGUUCUGAGACUUCUCUGGCAAUUUUUCUCACCCCCCCAGCUGCUAAUUCUGUACAAGGGGCCUUAUCUGUGUCCAUGUAUGGAGUAUGCUUCACAUGUCUAGGGGGGGUUCCCACUCAUACCGCUCUUCUAGACAGGGUGGAAUCAAAAGCUUUUUGUCUCAUCAACUCCUCUCCUCUAACUGACUGUCUUCAGCCUCUCUUUCAUCACUGCAAUGUUGCAUCUCUAGCUGUCUUCUACUGCUAUUUUCAUGCUAACUGCUCUUCUGAUCUUGCUAACUGAAUGCCUCCCUUCCUCCCAUGGCCUUGCUGCACUAGACUUUCUUCUUUCUCUCACCCCUAUUCUGUCCACCUCUCUAAUGCAAGAGUUACACAGUAUUCUUAAUCAUUCAUCCCUUUCUCUGGUAAACUCUGAAACUCCCUACCUGCUUCUGUUUUUCCACCUUCCUAUGACAUGAAUUCCUUCAAGAGGGAGGUUUCAAGAAACUUAUAAACUCCUGCAGCCACCUUCACACCAGUCUCAGAGAGAUUCAACCACUUUCACAUACACCUAGUUGGACUGCUACCCUAUACCAACAGCCACUGCUACUGUAGGAAUAUCAUUUAGUUAGGAAGGACAGAUGGAGAAUGCCUAACGCAAUGCACAUGACAUCGAGGCUCCAUCUUCCAAGUCAUUCCUCCCUCCUCACCAUGUGCCACUCCUAGCUGCACAUCACCACCGCUUUCACUCUCACAUCCUACCACGGACCCAACACUCCUGUUCAACACCACAACCCUAGCACAAGCCAAGGAGUUUUUCUUGUGGGAUUGUAUUAAGGAGGACUUGCAAUAAUUAUCACCACUACACCCAAUGAAAGAACCACCAUUGCACAUACUCGUACACCUGCUGGAGGAUGCAACACCCUUUGCCAUCCACACACCCCAGCAGAUUCCGCUGGCUUUCCAGGAUGCUGUACAACAAGAACUGCAGUUGAUGGUGACCCAGGCCACCUGCUAGUGAUGAGCCAUUGCCCUGGUGUCACCCAACAGUGUAGUGAGAAUCACUACUGUGACCUGUCUCAUCUCAACAAGCAGAUCUCUCGCCCUGCCCACCCCUCACCAAAACCAUUUGAUGUCAUCAGAAGUGGUGAUCUUUAGGUUCACUACUUCACUACAGUUGAUGCCCUGCAAAGAUACUACUGGCAGCUUGAGCUGGGUGAGAAGGACCAGCCACACUCACCAUGUUAAUAACAACACCUUACGGUUGCUUGAAAUGCCUCUGCCUCCAUGGGAUUUGCAGCAACGGGUGACACCUUCUGCAUUUGAGGGGACAAGGCACUAUAAGGUGUCCCCAACUGUGUUAAAGUGGUGGAUGAUGAUCUCAUUCACGAUCAUGAUCUACUACUACACCUCGACCGCACCAACACCAUUUUUACCAGGUGGCAGGAGAAUGGUAUCACACUUGAUGCAGACAAGUUUGAGAAUUUACUGACUUUCCAAAAUGCUGGGACUUCCAGAACCUGGUUACCUCACUUAAAUGCCUGCAAGCCAACAGUAAUGCCAAGGCAUCAGUCAAAGUUGUCAGCACUUAAUCAUGAAGAUCACUCCCUCAGGCAACAUUGACUGUGGGGCGUUCGAUCGUGGACUUCUGGAGGUGCAGAAUACACCAAGCCACACUGGAUGUUCUCUGGCACAAGUGCUAUACAGCCACCCCUCUGCACCUGCAUGCCAGCCCAUCCUAAAGCAUACAAGACAGAGUGGCAACCCACCAAGGAGGACUGUGCCUGCCUGACACACAACACAGUGAGAAUAGGAAGUUGUUAUUGUAGCGGGAGACAUACCCAAACACUGCCUGCCCUUGAUGUUAACCAGCGAGUACACAUCCAGAAUCCCAGGACCACCUGCUGGGACCAGGUGGGCACAGUAUUGGUAUACCAUGAACCGCAUCAACACAAUGUCUGCCUACCGUGUGGCCUGUGUCCUGAGAUGGGAAUCCCCGAUUUCUACGCCCAGAUGCUGCCUCUGUGAACCCCUUGACAGAUGUCCCUGCAACCCAUGAUCCACACCACUGCUUUGAUGUUCCAGGCACCUGUGCAAGCAAGAGGUUACAGCAGCCAGUCAUAAGUUCAAGAUUUUGCUCUGAACUUGGUGGGGGAAAGGUUUAGGAAUAUCAUUUAGUUAGGAAGGACAGACAGAGACACACAUACUUGUAUCCUACACACACAUACUAUUGCAGCCAAACUUGUGUCGCAAAGACACGCACUAGAGAAAGCCAGGAUUACUGUGUCCAUUGUAGCUGGAAUAAGAAUAGAAUGUUUGUUUGUCUGUCUCCUAGACUUUAAUUCAAGCCCCUUAUGGUGACAGCCCUAAGAGACAUGACCUUACAUAUAUGGCUCAGUGGGCAACCUACAGUACCUGCUGACCUGUGUGGACCAUUGGACCAUUUCACACACUGGCCUAAGGCUGCACCCCUGGCAAACAUAACCACUAACUCUGUUGCAUACACCUUCAUUGCCACGUGAAUCUCCAGGUUUAGUGUGCCUGUAAACCUCACCUCUGACCGUUGGCAGUCAGCUUGAUUCCAGCAUAUGGAACAAAGUUGUGACUCUCCUUGGUAUCUGCCGCUACAGGACCUCUGGCUACCAUCCAUAAGCUAACAGCAGCACAGUCAAGUGCUUUCACCGCCAGCUGAAGUCUUCUCUGGCAACCUUAACUGAAGAAAAUUGGUCGCUCUCCUCAUCCUCCUCAGUAUCAGGACAUCCUCCGCUGAGCUCAUUCAUGGCAAAAUCCUUGCUGCCAUGCAGAUC